Molecule: long non-coding RNA, 3823 nt
Organism: Carassius auratus (goldfish)
Lineage: Eukaryota; Metazoa; Chordata; Actinopteri; Cypriniformes; Cyprinidae
Exons: 3
Source: RefSeq, a predicted model, not a curated record
UUAGGAUCUUUAUGAAUACGGGCCCUGAAGGGUAUUUAAUAGGUCUUCCCCCACGUAAGAUUUUCCUAGUUACUAGUUGUUUAUUUAUAUUAAAUUUACAUCUACAAUCCAUAAUGAGUCUUAAUAUAUUAUUUGCUCAAGCACAUGCAUUAAGUUUGCCACAAAGCACAGGCAGAAGUAGCUUAAUAAUUGUGAAAAUGGAGACAUUUUAAUUAUUUAUUAAUAAACAAUUUUUUUCUUGUCAGCUGCAAGAGGAAAUUCCCAGUGCUGACUCUCUCCACGUGGACGCGCCUUUAGAGAGAAAUGCAACCUUCACAAUUACAUUAUGCUUAAUUUUGAUUUGAAACACUUGAAUAUAAAUAAUAAUUCACAUUUUGCAUAUGCAUUACAAAGUAAACAUUUUUUUUUACAUGCAAUUAUCCAAAAUUUAUAAAUAAUAAUAAUAAAUAAGUAGACAAAUAAGAAUAAAUGCUGUGAGUCGCACUCAGCAUCAGGCACACAGCAAGGAAUAUGAUAAACACCUGCAUUUAAGGCACGAAAGCCGCUGAAUUAUUAUUUUUUUACUUAAAUUAUAUGAAAGCAAGUAAAGAAGGCUCCCUUUAAAAUCACAGAAGCUGUCAAGUAAUUAAGCUUUUUUUUUUACUGUGUGCAUUUUGCUGAUUAUAAUAAGAGAACUUAAGUUUAAAUGUGAGGACAUUUUAUUAAUCAGUCCAUUCUUUAGAGUUUCAAGGAUUUAGUUAAACUGUGCAGUUUAAUUUGUACAUUUCUUGUUUUAAUUAGGCCAAAAUAAUGAGAGCGAAAAUACAGUGCCUCAAGUUUGACUAAAAUAAAGGAAAUCAUUUAUAAAACACGCAACAAUUUCUUAAUCAGUGUACCGACAAAUAUCUUUUUCCCCAAAAAUUACUGAAAUAGACUACAACUUUUAAUGCUCUGAUGCCACAAUUUAUUUAGAAUAAUAUUCAUAGUAUAUAAAUAAUACUGCACACCUAGUAAGGGUGUCAAAUCUAAAAUAUGGUGUUAUACUGUGUACCUUAGAGAAAAUAUAAGCACAGACUCGUUGGCUUGACAUGUAUCCUGCUUGAAUUCUUUCUCAUACAUUAAUAAGCAAUAAACUUUCAUCUGAAUAUUUUAACAUAUUUACAUAUUUUAACAACAGUGUUUUUGGUUCAUUUUCCCCGACUGCAGCAGUCAAAUGUAACACAUUGGUGACGUCUAUCCCGCUCCUGCUCCACUCCACGCUCACUGAUAUCAGAAACACCGCUCCAUAACUGAAGUAUUUCAUUAUGUUUAAAAUAGCACAGUUCUGUUCAUAACAUAUAUUAAAAAAUAAAAUAGGAGGAGAGUUUCAAAGUGGUUUAUCAGAAAAGUAGUUUGCCCUCAUCUUUGCUGUAGUAGAGAGAGACGUUUUUGAGAGCAGUCAGUUAAUCAUUUAUUAUGGACUUGGGCUAAUUGUAGUGUUCCAGUAAUCCAUGUUAUAACUGGGUAUUUCCCAGAAUUCGGGCCUAUUUCUGUCCACAGGGUGUAAUUUUAUUAAAAACUAAUUAAAUCUAAUACAUUUUAGCACCACUUAUUAGUAUAAACAAAAACAAGCCUAGACUUUUUUUAUGGCUGGUCUUACUAAUGAUUUUAACUCAUUUUAUUGGUGUUUGGUUUUGUGGUAUAUUAUCUGUGUUGUCCGCCACCAGAGUUUUCGAAUGGCAUACCAUAUGUCAAACAAGAUGACAAAUUAAUAAAUAAAAAAUAUGCAUAUGAAUUAAAUGUUACCUAAUAAAACUAUUAAACUACAUACACAGAUUAAGCAUAUAUAUGCAUUUUGUACUUUAUUUUGGUUAAUUUCUACCUGUCACAUGUUUUAGACGUCAUUACCAACAUACUCUGCAUAAGGGACUUUCCAUGCCAUGGUAACCUAAUUUCACAGUGGAGCACAUGGAUUUCAAGCUGCAAGACUGAUGCCUUGAUGUCCAGAAAAGUGUGACAUGGCUCCAAAUGCAGUUGCCCAGAGGUCCAAAUCUUACAGAAAACAUUUGAAAGAUGAUCCUGAGAAAUAUGCACAGUAUCUGCAGAGUGAGAAAGAGAGAUAUCAUAGAAGAACAGAAACAGGAAAAUUUUAAUCUUGUUUCCCAAUUGAGCGAUGGAAAGUAAAUCAACAAAGGAAGAGAGCUAAGGACAGAGAAAAAAGAGAAAUAGAAAAUUAUCUUUCAAUGAGUAGUCCUCCCGAAUCUCCUGAUAUCCAUACACAAAAGAAUCAGAAUAGGGAUGUGCCAAAUGCAAGGAAUGAAAGAGUUGGUAUGGCGGAUUCAGUCCAAACCCCAAAGUAAUGAGAACGCAAACCUACCAUUAAAAGAAAAUUUAAGGAAAACAAAUCAUAAAAAAAGACACCAUAACUAGACAGAAAUUCAAAAAGCAGAAGCGUUACCUCAAUGUCUCCCUUUUCAGACUGUAUCACAGUUUCAAGGAGGAAUAUCCUCAGGUGAAAAUCUCAUACAGUAAAUUCUGUGAGAACCGUCCUUUCUGGAUCUUCAAACCCUCCAUUCAAGACAGGGAUACCUGUUUAUGCAAGACCCAUGCAAACAUCCAACUCAUGGCUGAUAAGUUGCUUUAUCUUAAACAGAAUUGAAAACGUAAUGCACUACCUAUGUUGUGAAAGUCCAACUAAAGCCUGCAUGUAUAGAGAGUGUGUCCGUUGCCAAGACAAAGAAGUACAAACUGCUGCAUUUCAACCUGGUGAGCAAACACAGUGGAUGGAAUGGUGAAAACAAAACUGAAAUCAAAGAGAAAAAGAAAGGUGGUGAUAAGGUGACAAUCACUGCUCACUUAACAGUAAAGGAGCAAAUCCAAGGAACCAUUCAACACUUGUUGGAAAAUUUCACAGCAGCACUAAAGAACAAGUCUGGGAUGCGACAGGAUGCCUCAGCCAUAUGGACACAUCUGAGCCCUGUAGUCUCUCACUUCAAAGUGCUCAUCCCUUCUCUGAACACACUGCACAUGAUAAGUGAUGGACCAACAACACAAUAUUGUUCAAAGAAGAACUACUUCUGUCUCAGCUCUGUUCCAUUUCAGCUAGGAUUUAAAAAGGUCACAUGGAAUUUCCUAGAGGCAGGCCAUGGAAAGGCGCAUCCUUAAAACAGAGGGCAGAUGUUCUUUUUGCUGGUGGAACAGACAUUCCAGAUGGGAGAAUGUUCUUUGAGAAUCUGAUAGAAUAAAAGUCAAUAUCAAGCUCUUCUACAUCACAGAAAGUGAGAUAGAAGAAUAUGACCGAUCUAUACCAGACCAGCUUGAAACUGGUGAAAAUCCACCAGAUUUUUUACCACCAAGUCCGGCCACAUCACCUGGCAAAUCCUAAGCUGUUUCUGCUCAGCUCCUGAACAUUGCCUCUGCUUUGCCCCUGAGUCUGUGGUCCUCAACAAAGCACAGAAAACCACUAUGAAGACAGAGCCAUGCCAAGGGAAGCUCAAUACAACGCCUGAAAUAACCAUGUCUUUGGUGGGAGAAUGGUGUGUGGUCUGUUAUGAUGGGGAGGCCUACCCAGGUGUUGUUCAGGAUGUCGAUGAAGAGUCUAUCCAGGUGAAAACAAUGUCUAUCCUUGGAGUUAACUGUUUUUUUGGUUUGUUUUUUUGCCUCUAAAACAAGACAUCCUGUGGUACAGGCAUGAAGAUUUCAUGGGGCUCGUGCCAGAGCCAAAAACAGUCACCAAGAGGCAUAUGAUGCUUGAUGUCUCUGUCUGAAAUAAAGUAUCAUCCAAGAUGGAUGAGAGGAUGAAUGUUUGAUGAGUUUUUGUCUGUUUUGUGGAAGAUUUGGUAUCAAUGACAUGUUUGUGGUGUUU